RNAcentral lists this ribosomal RNA (1143 nucleotides) under uncultured organism. RNAcentral's name for it is "bacterial SSU rRNA". It matches the Rfam family "Bacterial small subunit ribosomal RNA", at positions 314 to 1487 of the family's 1533-position model. The record is from RNAcentral.
GGGCACUGAGACACGGGCCCGACUCCUACGGGAGGCAGCAGUAAGGGAUAUUGCGACAAUGGGCGAAAGCCUGACGCAGCAACGCCGCGUGGAGGAUGAAGGCCUUCGGGUUGUAAACUCCUUUUCUGUGGGAAGAGGAAGGACGGUACCACAGGAAGAAGUCUCGGCUAACUACGUGCCAGCAGCCGCGGUAAAACGUAGGAGGCGAGCGUUAUCCGGAUUUACUGGGUGUAAAGCGCGUGCAGGCGGUCUGGUAAGUCGAGCGUGAAAGCUCCCGGCUCAACCGGGAGAGGACGUGCGAAACUGCGAGGCUAGAGACAGGUAGAGGCGUACGGAAUUCCGGGUGUAGUGGUGAAAUGCGUAGAUAUCCGGAGGAACACCAGUGGCGAAGGCGGUACGCUGGGCCUGGUCUGACGCUAAGACGCGAAAGCAUGGGGAGCGAACGGGAUUAGAAACCCCGGUAGUCCAUGCCGUAAACGAUGCUAACUAGGUGUUGCGGGUAAAAGACCGGCAGUGCCGGAGUUAACGCGAUAAGUUAGCCACCUGGGGACUACGGUCGCAAGGCUAAAACUCAAAGGAAUUGACGGGGGCCCGCACAAGCAGCGGAGCGUGUGGUUUAAUUCGAGGCUACACGAAGAACCUUACCUGGGCUUGACAUGACGGUGGUAGGGAACCGAAAGGGGACCGACCUUCGGGAGCCGCCACAGGUGCUGCAUGGCUGUCGUCAGCUCGUGUCGUGAGAUGUUCGGUUAAGUCCGGUAACGAGCGCAACCCUCAUCGCUAGUUACAAGUGUCUAGCGAGACUGCCCGUUCAACGCGGGAGGAAGGCGGGGAUGACGUCAAGUCAGCAUGGCCUUUAUGUCCAGGGCUACACACACGCUACAAUGGCCGGUACAAUGGGUCGCCAACCCGCGAGGGGGAGCCAAUCCACCAAAGCCGGUCACAGUUCGAAUUGCAGGCUGCAACCCGCCUGCAUGAAGUCGGAGUUGCUAGUAACCGCAGGUCAGCUAUACUGCGGUGAAUACGUUCCCGGGCCUUGUACACACCGCCCGUCACGUCAUGGGAGCUGGUCAUGCCUGAAGUCGGUGAGCCAACCGCAAGGAGGCAGCCGCCUAAGGCAGGGCUGGUGACUGGGACGAAGUC